Molecule: ribosomal RNA, 554 nt
Filed under: uncultured archaeon
Lineage: Archaea
Description: bacterial SSU rRNA
Rfam family: Archaeal small subunit ribosomal RNA
Source: RNAcentral
CGGGGAGCAGCAGGCGCGAAACCUUUACACUGCACGACAGUGCGAUAAGGGGACUCCGAGUGCGAGGGCAUAGAGCCCUCGCUUUUCUGCACCGUAAGGAGGUGCAGGAAGAAGGGCUGGGCAAGACCGGUGCCAGCCGCCGCGGUAAUACCGGCAGCCCAAGUGAUGGCCGAUAUUAUUGGGCCUAAAGCGUCCGUAGCCGGCCGGACAAGUCCGUUGGGAAAUCCACGCGCUCAACGCGUGGGCGUCCAGCGGAAACUGUCCGGCUUGGGGCCGGAAGAUCCGAGGGGUACGUCCGGGGUAGGAGUGAAAUCCCGUAAUCCUGGACGGACCGCCGGUGGCGAAAGCGCCUCGGAAGGACGGACCCGACGGUGAGGGACGAAAGCCAGGGUCUCGAACCGGAUUAGAUACCCGGGUAGUCCUGGCCGUAAACGAUGUCUGCUGGGUGUGGCGCAGGCUACGAGCCUGCGCUGUGCCGUAGGGAAGCCGUGAAGCAGACCGCCUGGGAAGUACGUCCGCAAGGAUGAAACUUAAAGGAAUUGGCGGGGGAGCAC